UUAAAAGUCCCCCUUCCCCCACCCCCAGUCAUCAGAGUUGGGAUCUCUGCCCAGCUCUUCCCUUUUCCCCUUGGACCUUUCCAGCCCUGUGGUUUUUGAAAACAAUUUGGACCCUUCCAGAGCUUGGGAGAGGAGGCCUGGGCCCUGCUCUGGCCCUCUCAGUGGUGGCCUGUGACUGUGCGUAUCACAGAUGAAGGGACAAAGCCAGAGAGGCUAAGUAACUCCCUCAAGGGCACACAGCAGAGUCUUGAUUUGUAGCCCAGACUGGACUGGAAUUUGCAACCUUCCUGACUCAGCCUCCUGAGUGCUGGGAUUACAGACCCCGAGCCAGGCUCUGGGCUACAGCUGGAGCAAGGACGAGACUUUGGCUUCAAGAAAUCCCUGGAACAAUAACUUGCAGCUGAGCAGCACAAUUGUUUAUGGUUUGUGGUCUGUGAGGCCCUUUUCCAUAUCCUGUCCCGUGAUCCUGGUGUCGGACGUGGCCGAGACGAGACACUCAGAAACAGACUCUGAGGACAUCCAGGAGGAUGAAGACCCCUGGGUGAGGCCCAUGGG
This 555-nucleotide long non-coding RNA is filed under the name Heterocephalus glaber (naked mole-rat). Its description in RNAcentral is "lncRNA (ENSHGLG00100037107.1)". Lineage: Eukaryota; Metazoa; Chordata; Mammalia; Rodentia; Bathyergidae. The record is from RNAcentral.